AUGGGUAUUAUCUCUUACCUACCUGCCUAUCUAUUUCUCCAUCCACCCUCUAUCUAUUCAUCUCUCCCUCACCCUUCCCCAUGCCCUUGCAGUUCCACCAGAACAAUAGUGAUCAGAAUAGCUACUUCUUCCAGGCUUGCUAAAGAUUCAAUUAGAUGCAAUAAAUCUAAAGCUCCAUCCGAUAUUCCGCAAAGCAUUUCCCAGUAGCUGCAGUGCCUGAAGUCAUUCUAUUCUUGGCUAUAAUUCAGCACCCUUCUCACAUAAUUCUCUGCCUGGGAGAUAUCUGUCAGGUCUUUUUGUAUCACUUGUCUCCUGUUGGACAAUGCCAACAUAUCCAUAGAAAUUCCCUUCCCAAUGUGGAGAUUAAAAAAGGAGGGAGAGGAUGAUAACUGUUUUUCAAAGUGAAGCAAGUCUAGGUCACACUGAAGGUUUCUAAAAGGUAACCGCAAUAAUUCAGUCCCUCGGCCGUCCUCUCUCUGAAAGUCGGACAUGUACGUUCACGAGAACUAUUUUAUAUCACAGCUCAGUUAUUAAACCUGCUGCCACAGCCAUCAGCCCUUCCUUCAUAAGGGCUAGGCACUGUCACACCUCUCCAGUGCAGGCUGGUGGAGGGAGGCAGGCUUUAGAAUCACAUAGCUUAGGCUUGAAUCUCUGUUCUGAUACUAGCCACAAAUUCUGGUGCAAGGCCACAGGACCAUUAUUUAAUUCAGUUUUCUUAUCUAUACAAAGGGGACUCUAAUACUUCAUAGAUCAUUCUGAGGAUUAAAUGUGAUUGCCUUAGUUAUACAUUAAAACCAGGAGCAGCAAACAGUAGCUACUGGGAAAACGUUCACCAUUUUCCUUAGGAGUUACGUGGGCACAGUGUUGCUAGUCACUCAGUCGUAUCCAACUCUUUGUGGCCCCACAGACUGUAGCUGGCCAGACGCCAGCUGUCCAUGGAAUUCUCCAGGCAAGAAUACUGGAGUGGGUUUCCAUGCCCNNNNNNNNNNNNNNNNNNNNACCCAGAGACUGAAUCUGAGUCUCCUGCAUUGGCAGCUGGAUUCUUUAUCCUCUGAGCCACUAGGGAAGCUCCAUGUGGUCACAGAACAAUUAUCAAAGGGACCUACUGUAUAGCACAUAGAACUCUGCUCAGUGUUAUGUGGCAGCCUGGAUGGGAGGGAAGUUUUCUGGGGGGAGAACAGAUACAUAUGUAAGUAUGAUUGAAUCCCUUUGCUAUUCACCUGAAACUAUCACAACAUUGUUAAGUGGCUAUACCCCCACAUGAAAUUAAAAUGUUCAUUUUUUUUAUUUUAAAAAAUGUAUGACAUUCAAGACACACAUAUAUUCACAGAAAGAUCAUAUUAUUGAUGCUUGUUUGCUUGAAAUCUAGUUAAAUUUAACUCCAAUUAUCCUUCUCUGCCAAGGAGGGAAAAAAAGGAAAUCAAACNNNNNNNNNNNNNNNNNNNNNNNNNNNNNNNNNNNNNNNNNNNNNNNNNNUAUGGUGGAAGGGCCAGGGCUCUCUAGUGGCAAAACACACCAACUUAUGAGUCACGUGGGUCACUAAUGUGUGCUCUGCCACCCUGACCUCCUGUUUCCUUUAGAUCAGAGAGUCCGGGACCUGGGGGCCUCUGCUGUAGGUGCACCGGCUUCCCCCUCUGAAGGCAAGCCACCUUCCUGGGACGAUUCAUGGGUACACCUCUUCCUUAGGCCCCACAAUCUUUCCUCCACCUCCCAGGAUUGCAAAUUGCCUUUGGAUCAAGGGAAAGCAUCUCCUAUUUCUACUUGGUUCCCUCAGAGGAACUCNNNNNNNNNNNNNNNNNNNNNNNNNNNNNCAGCUUGGAGAAGAUAAAAUUAGGAACAAAAGCAUCCUCUAGGCCAGGAAGCCCAGAGCCUCUGACCUUCUCAAGUGAGGAAAAGAGGACAUGCAUAAACAUAAAUCAUCUCAGAGUUUCUCCUGCUAUAAUAGUAAUUGCAAAUAUUUGAAUAGCUAACAUUUAGUGAGCAUCAUGAUAAGCUCAGAAAAAUAUCAGCAGUUCUACAAUUAGUGACUAAACAACAAAGUCAAGCACCUUUAUGCUUAAAGGGCUCCUUCACACACCAUCUCACUUGGUUCCGUCCUCUGGGAAGCAAGCACAAAUGGGACAAUGGUCCCUGUCUGUGAUAAGUUUUGAAGGCUCUGCGUAGUCAAUCUGUGGGCUUGCCAGCUUGCAUGUCCCUGGAGCUCUUGAAAGACACAUCUCUAUCUGGGCUUCCUCUGUGGUCAAAUGGUCCAAGUCACGGUGUAAGAAUCCACACCCCAGCAUCACACUCCUUUCCCCUCCCUGUCCCACCCCAUCAUUGCAUGGGUUGCUCUGUUAAAUGGCUCUAAGUUCUGCACCUAAACUGAUACACCAACAUUGUGCUAAAGUCUCAACCCCUUCCAGGAGGCCACACCGUCUCUUGAGGAGCUUUUCUUCAAGACCCUGACAACUCUUUCCACAAGGAAACUCCUGUCUGCCACCUUGAGUCUCUGCCUGUUCCUUAAUGCCACCUCUUGGUUUCCAGGUCUGGGAUCCACUGACCCCACGUGCCUGCUGGAUUACCAUUCAUCAUCCAACUUCUUCCAGCUUCCUAGCUUCCACUGCCAACCUGUUUCCUUUUAGUUUAUUUCUAGGGCCCGGCUUGCCUUGUCCGGUAAUUCUCUAUCUCAUGUAGCCCUUUGUCUAGCUUAUCACAAUCAGAGGAGUCCACUUCCAUUAGAAGGUAGAUGUUGGCACUGACUUCUUCCCAACAGAAGGGUCAAAGGGUCAAAGAAAGGAACCUGGGAACAGCUUCAUGGACCCUCUUCCCCCACACCCAAGUGCUUCUCAUGAUGCAUACCUUCUUCGGGGAAGACGAGCUGGGGGGCUCUCUCUCUUAGUCCAUGAUCUUAGGGGUGGUAUUUGAGCUGAAAAGAAUGUUAUUCCAAAGGUAGUCAGAGUUGUUGUACCAAACAGGAGAGACAGAGGUUGGAGAAGAGGAGGAUGAGGCAGAGGAUAAAGGGCUUGGAUCAUGCAUCAAACAGAGAUGCCAGAGGCAGGUGCCUAGUAGUGAAGGCAGGAACAAGGCAGGUCAAGGGAAUGGAAUAGUGGGCAGGGCGAAUGAAGUCAGGCAGGUGGGGACCUCAGUCUAAGUAGGGAUAUAUGGGCCUGGACGACCAUGCUGAGUGGGUGAGGUCUGUCUUGGUGGAUAGGAUCAGUCCUUGCAGAAGCCCCUCAGGCUCUAUGGAUUCAGAAGCAGGUCAUGUUCCUGAAUUCUUACUGCACACAUGGCUCUAUGUCACAUGCUCUAUAUCAACUAAUCUAUACAACUUCUCUUAGAGGAGGAGAUGAUUGUGCACAUGUAAAGGUAUUGAUAAGGGCUUGGCAAAGUUAAUAUGAAGGCCCUGUCCUCGUGACUAAUGAAUGGAACACAGAGGUUACAUUUAACACAGGGUUCAAGUGAUUUCAGUGCUGCCUACCCCCAUUCCAGACUGGGCUUCCCUUGUGGCUCAGCUGGUAAACAAUCCACCUGCAAUAUGGGAGACCUGGGUUUGAUCUCUGGAUUGUGAAGAUCCCAUGGAGAAGGAAAAGGCUAUCCACUCCAGUAUUCUGGCCUGGAGAAUUGCAUGUACUGUAUGGUCCAUGUGGUUGCAAAGAGUCAGAUGUGACUGAGUGACUUUUACUCACUCCGGAAUGGUCCUCUAGCCUCUCUCCCAGGUUCUGGGCUUGAGUCUCGGGCUGGGCCUUGAUCCUAUUUUCUUCCAUAGCACUGUUUAACAUCUGCUGCAGAAACAGCUGAGCUGGGACUGCUGACUGCUUUUCAGCUCCGGGCACCCAAGCACAACUGCCCUUCGGCUCUUGUCAGUGGGACAGAAACACUGGACUGACAGUUGCUAAGUUUUUGAAGUUAAACUAUUAGCCAGGGAAAAUAAAGGAAUCCUGUACUAAUCUACUACAGGGAGCUAGUCCUUGGGGAAGCAUGUCCUCUCUUCUCCCAAGAAAUUGGCCCAGUUGGGACUCCCAGUUUGGUCAAUGUUUUGAGUCGCAAUGGGACUGACUUGAGAUAUCCCAGAGGGAAAUUGUUAACUUGACACCUAAUUAGUCAACCAGCAAUCUCCCACGAAUAUGAUCCUUCUCUGCUUCUGCUGG
RNAcentral lists this long non-coding RNA (4127 nucleotides) under Capra hircus (goat). RNAcentral's name for it is "lncRNA (ENSCHIG00010016075.1)". Lineage: Eukaryota; Metazoa; Chordata; Mammalia; Artiodactyla; Bovidae. The record is from RNAcentral.